GGGUCAGGAGGAGUUUGUUGCGAAGAGUAGUGGAGUGGAAUCGUGGCUAUCACCAGGGCAUACCACGUGGAGUCUAUUGCGGGGAGUGGAGCGGCGUCCGUCGUCGCGACUUGCCAGAGGAUGGAGGAACCGCACGGUAUCCAUCACAGGAAGUGGAGCAGGAUCAUGGCCAUUAUUGCAGCCUGCCAGGGAGUGAUGGAGCCACGCAA
Molecule: long non-coding RNA, 209 nt
Filed under: Elaeis guineensis (African oil palm)
Lineage: Eukaryota; Viridiplantae; Streptophyta; Magnoliopsida; Arecales; Arecaceae
Description: long non-coding RNA (EGUI_LNC076719)
Source: RNAcentral